AACAUCUCAACAAUUUGAGACCAAACUCCAUAAUUGGCACCAUUGAGUUUGAUGCCAAUCGAAGCAGUAGACGAAUCAUAAUGGACAAUCUAUGUAACAACUUGCGAUAUAGGUAGGGUAGGAUUCAUGGUAGGGUCGGUUGGGGUAGUAGUGUUUAGGGUUGUAGUGUUUAGUGUAGGGGUGGAAUCGAUUAGGAUGAGGUUGUUUCCACCGUGGAGUGGUGGUAGGUUCUCCAUGGGAGGGCCGAGUUUGCUUAAGGGAACGGGCAGAGCAGAAAUCCUAGGAUCUUUGCUCUGAUACCAUGCUAAU
RNAcentral lists this long non-coding RNA (309 nucleotides) under Malus domestica (apple). Its description in RNAcentral is "long non-coding RNA (MDOM_LNC003105)". Lineage: Eukaryota; Viridiplantae; Streptophyta; Magnoliopsida; Rosales; Rosaceae. The record is from RNAcentral.